GGGACACGUGGUAUCCUGUCUGAAUAUGGGGGGACCAUCCUCCAAGGCUAAAUACUCCUGACUGACCGAUAGUGAACCAGUACCGUGAGGGAAAGGCGAAAAGAACCCCGGCGAGGGGAGUGAAAAAGAACCUGAAACCGUGUACGUACAAGCAGUGGGAGCACCUUCGGGUGUGACUGCGUACCUUUUGUAUAAUGGGUCAGCGACUUAUAUUCUGUAGCAAGGUUAACCGUAUAGGGGAGCCGCAGGGAAACCGAGUCUUAACUGGGCGUUAAGUUGCAGGGUAUAGACCCGAAACCCGGUGAUCUAGCCAUGGGCAGGUUGAAGGUUGGGUAACACUAACUGGAGGACCGAACCGACUAAUGUUGAAAAAUUAGCGGAUGACUUGUGGCUGGGGGUGAAAGGCCAAUCAAACCGGGAGAUAGCUGGUUCUCCCCGAAAGCUAUUUAGGUAGCGCCUCGUGAAUUCAUCUUCGGGGGUAGAGCACUGUUUCGGCUAG
This 499-nucleotide ribosomal RNA is filed under the name Klebsiella pneumoniae subsp. pneumoniae. RNAcentral's name for it is "partial 23S ribosomal RNA". It matches the Rfam family "Bacterial large subunit ribosomal RNA", at positions 419 to 922 of the family's 2925-position model. The record is from RNAcentral. Lineage: Bacteria; Pseudomonadati; Pseudomonadota; Gammaproteobacteria; Enterobacterales; Enterobacteriaceae.